UCAAAGCCUUGCAAUUGAGUGCCUGAAGGUAUUAUUCCUGAUAACUUGUUGUUGGAUAAAUUCAAUCUACUCAAAAAUGUCAAGCUUGACAUACUUGGAGGAAUUUCUCCAAAAAGUUGAUUCUGAGAAAAAUCAAGAGAUUCUAAUGCUUUCAUAUUUCCUAUUUCCUCUGGAAUUCUUCCACUCAAAAGAUUAUGUGACAAAUUUAAUGAAUACAAUGCUUCAAGCCUUGUUAUUUCUUCAGGAAUAUCUCCUGAUAAUUUAUUAUUUGAGAGGUCCAUACUCCGAACGAAACCAAGAAUGGUGCUAUAUUCAAUCAUUUUCCCCUUCAUCAUCACUAAGGAACUCUGAUACCAUUGCAGUGAAGGACCAUAAUCAUAGAAAAAAUUGCCUCCCAUACUUCCAUAAUUAUUUUUAUCGACCAUUACACUGAAGUUACUGAUACAUGAUGGUAUGGUACCACUGAGGUUGUUAUUAGCAAGAUCCAAGAUUUGCAAAUAAGUCAUGCGGCAAAGCUCUAUAGGCACGUGACCAUGAAAUUGGUUCCCACGAAGAUUAAGAAUAACCAUCUGUGAAUAAUUUUGAUUCUCCAGCCAUGUUGAAAUAUUUCCCCCCAAUCUAUUUUCAUCCAAUUGAAGUACUGUUAAUCCUUUGCAAUGUUCAAGUGACAAUGGUAUUUCACCAAAGAGAGUAUUGUUGCGAAGGUUUAAGAAUUGAAGGUCACUUAAAAUCCCAAUGGAACUAGGAAUUUUUCCACUGAAAUAGUUGUCAUUUAAUUUUAAAAUUCUUAAAGAUUUCCAAUUCAUCCAACAAUCAGGUAUCUCUCCAGAUAGAAGAUUUUUUCCUAAGUUAAGAACUUCUGUAGUUAGAUAAUGAUGAAAGCUCUUUUCAAAGUUCAGCCUAUGAAUCCUAUUGCAUAGAAAGGUAUAUAUUGACCCAGAGAAUGAAUUAUUAGAAAGAUCUAUCCCACUAGGAUUGGAAAAGACAUAAGGCAAUGGACCCUCAAAAUUAUUUGAACUCAAGUCAAUGGAUGAGUAAUCAGAAUCAUCAAUGGAUAAAUAUGGAAUCCUUCCAUGCAUUUGGUUAUUGGAUAAAUUAAAUUCAUAGAGCCUUGAAGACCACUCAUGGAACCAGAGGGGCAGGGCACUUGAAAUUGUUGAGUUUGACAAGUCCAGAUAUUCUAAAUACUUUAGCGAAUGGAGCCAUGUGGGAAACUGAGGCCCAACAUCCCAAGAUCGCAAAGAUAUGUUCUCAACAAGUUGAAAGGGAGGAAUCCAAACAGGAUUGACUCUUAAAAUCAAUUGGUUAUGAGAGCCAUCAAAAUUUCUCAUAUUUGUAAGGUUUGCAAAAUGAAUUUCAGAAACUUCACCCUCCAAUGAAUUAUGAGAAAUAUCAACCUCCGCUAAUUUUUCAAGGGCUCCAAAACCUAUGGGGAGACUUCCAUUCAGUUUGUUAACGGAAAGGUGCAGAUAUGCCAAGGAAGUCAACCCACCCAAAGUGGGCGGAAUUUGGUGAGCAAUCGAAUUAUGGGAAAGAUCGAGAGAAUCCAGAUUCUUGAAUUGUCCAAGAAGAUUAUUUAAAUGACCUGAUAAUUGACAAUUAUAUAAAGACAACACCUCUAUCCCAUUUGAAACACAUCCCGAGAGAAUUUCAAAUACCUCAUUUAUCUCUUGGCUUAGAUUGUUGCUGACCAAAUCGAGUGACCUCAACUUGCAAAGAUUUUUGAAUGAUGCCGGAAUUCCUCCUUCAAGUUCAUUGAAUGACAAGUCGAGGUUGUUGAGGGAAGUCAAGUUUCCAAUGGCACUUGGAAUUGCUCCUUCAAGUUUGUUU
RNAcentral lists this unclassified non-coding RNA (1830 nucleotides) under Hevea brasiliensis (rubber tree). Lineage: Eukaryota; Viridiplantae; Streptophyta; Magnoliopsida; Malpighiales; Euphorbiaceae. The record is from RNAcentral.